UGGGGAAUAUUGCACAAUGGGCGCAAGCCUGAUGCAGCCAUGCCGCGUGUGUGAAGAAGGCCUUCGGGUUGUAAAGCACUUUCAGCGAGGAGGAAGGGUAGUGUGUUAAUAGCACAUUGCAUUGACGUUACUCGCAGAAGAAGCACCGGCUAACUCCGUGCCAGCAGCCGCGGUAAUACGGAGGGUGCAAGCGUUAAUAGGAAUUACUGGGCGUAAAGCGCACGCAGGCGGUUUGUUAAGUCAGAUGUGAAAUCCCCGCGCUUAACGUGGGAACUGCAUUUGAAACUGGCAAGCUAGAGUCUUGUAGAGGGGGGUAGAAUUCCAGGUGUAGCGGUGAAAUGCGUAGAGAUCUGGAGGAAUACCGGUGGCGAAGGCGGCCCCCUGGACAAAGACUGACGCUCAGGUGCGAAAGCGUGGGGAGCAAACA
RNAcentral lists this ribosomal RNA (427 nucleotides) under uncultured bacterium. RNAcentral describes it as "partial 16S ribosomal RNA". It matches the Rfam family "Bacterial small subunit ribosomal RNA", at positions 355 to 774 of the family's 1533-position model. The record is from RNAcentral.